GAAUCCAGCCAUCAUCUGAGGAAGCAGUUCAUGUCGCAGCAAAGGAAGUUCUGUUCUCACCACAGCCCCUAUCUUCUGGAAGCAGCUGUCGUAAUUGAAAGGGUGCAUUUCUCACCUGCACUGUGGUCCAGGAAACUCAAGUCACCGUCCCCACCAUGUUCUUCCUGACUUCGAAGCAGUCUGGUGACCCCAGGCAGGAACUGACUAGCAUGAGAGUCUUGAUGCAGGAGAAUUUUUGAAGAAAUUCAGAAGCAGAACCGAAAGGAGGAGAGAAGGUGGAGGUGGGAAAGCUGACAGCUGGAGACUGGGGAGGGCCCUUUGAGGCCUGGGAGAGAAUAUGUGGAUGGUGGGGAGACCUUUCCCAGCAUUUUGGUAAAGGCUCCGUCAGUGCCCUGUCCUCGUGUUGGGGUCCCCCUCUCACAAAGUAUCUUUUCCACCUUUAGCCACCUCCACCCUGUCCACUAACCUUCAGUGGGAACAGCAGAUGCAACUGGCGGGGCUGAAGGUUUAAGCCUGCAACAUCUGAAGCCCUGGACCUGGAACCGGAGACUCCCACCAGCCACUAUACCUGUGAACCCGUAGAAGACCUGAACUACCUAUUUAAAAGACAGUCAAAAGAUAAGUAAAUGCCUACCAAUUUUCCCUGGUGUAAAAUGUUAACUGAUUUUUGCUCUCUCACUUACAGAUGUUUGUAUAAGGGUUUCAGCCAAUUUUGGAACAAAAUUCAAAAUCAGGCCAAAAUACUUACCUGUUGUGACUAGAUCAAGCCAGCUGUACCUUUUAUAACCACGUACAAGGCUUGCCGCAACCCAUGGAUACCCACCUAAAUACUUAGGAAUAGAGAGCCAUGAUCCUCAGUAGGCAGGGACAAUGCCCAUGACCAGUAGAAAGUAGCUACAGAAAACUGAUCUUCAGCCCUUUUGCCUCCCAUAAAGAUUUAUGGGGAUCAUAUCUCUCAGAGGGAAAUGAGGCAGGAGAAUAGGGAAUUAGGGUAACCAGGGUUUCAGCUGGUGCAGCCAGUGCCGCAGGGGUGGAAGAACAGCAGGUGCAGCCAGUUCAAAUGAGCAGAAGAACAGCAGGUGCAGCAUAUAGGCCACAUCCUUGCUCCCAUGAUAACAAGCCACUUCAGCCUCCGAUUGGUCUCAGGCCAAUCCUUUAUGAGGUGUGGUCAAUUGGAGGCCUCUGAAGGGCACUGAGAGGUGUUGCCGGGUUUUUUCUUUAAUAAAAACCGUAAUUGAGGGGGCUCUUGAGCAGCCGCUUGCUCAAGCCCAAUCCCACUCUGAAUUUUCUUCAAUAAAUCUGUGCCCACACUGGCAUUUUGUUCAGUUCCUUGCCCAAUACACCAAGAACAGCAGGUGCAGCAUACAGGCCACAUCCUGGCUGGACAACUCACAUUUAGGACACUCUCUCCGGCAACAGGUGACAUCAUCCUCUUAGCCUGUCAAAAUGUUGGUAUUACAGGCAUGAGCUGCCCUGCCUGGCCUAUAACUUUUUUUGCUGAAAAAUAUUCCCUUGUAUGCAGGUAUUACAUUUAGCCAUUCAUCAGCUGGUGGACAUUUGAACUGUUUCCACUUUUGUUUACUAUGAAUAAAGCUGCUAUGAACACCUGUGUAAAGUUUUGCAUAGACAUGUUUUCAUUUCUGUAUAUAUAUCUAA
Molecule: long non-coding RNA, 1656 nt
Filed under: Homo sapiens (human)
Lineage: Eukaryota; Metazoa; Chordata; Mammalia; Primates; Hominidae
Description: HSALNT0399399
Source: RNAcentral